Solanum pennellii is the source of this 2787-nucleotide RNA transcript. It is a transcript of the gene named 60S ribosomal protein L37-2-like, with no coding region annotated. NCBI's taxonomy places the organism in Eukaryota, Viridiplantae, Streptophyta, Magnoliopsida, Solanales, Solanaceae. The transcript has 3 exons. The record is from RefSeq and is a predicted model, not a curated record.
ACUUUUUCUAUUUUUUCUAAGUUUGGCUUUACGUCUUUCUCCUCUAUUUGAAUUGUCUCAUUCAAGCUUCUUUAUGGAGUUUCUUUGAAUGGGUUUUCUAUUUUAGUUUUGCAGAGUUUUAAACUAGAUGUUUCAUGAUUUGGAUUGAAAUUUCCAAUUAAUUAGUGUAUUAUUUCUUAGUUUUAGGUUUGGAUCUGAUUUUUUUGAUUAUUUUAUAUUUGUGUAUUUAUUUUUGUAGUGUGUGCAUCUUCAAAAACAAUUGGGAUGCUUUCUUAGAUAUUUGUGUUUUUUUGUUUGUUUACUCGUAAACGCUUCAAUUUGAUCUUUCUCUAAUAUGUCUGCGAAUUCUUGUGUUUUUGUGAAAUUUUAUUUCAUUUCAUUUAUUCAUCUGUUCGUUCUUAAUUUAUUCCCGAGUAAGCCCUCCAAUUCGAUCUUUUCUCUAAUAUGAUUGUAAUUUAUUUUCUUUUGUGAAAUUUUCCUCAAUUAUCUUUUCUCGACGUGCAUAUUCUGUUUCACAUUUUAGUUUUCUUUGCUUCUUAUGAAGUUUGCUCUCAAACAACGUGUCCUUCAUUUCCCACAAUGUUUGAUGAUAUGCCUGAAUUAACUGAAUAAUUUAUUGAGUUUUUUCUAUUUUCACAUGUGUUUUUCAAGAUUCUCGUCUAUAAGGUACAAUAUUUUUUUUAAUUGGACUAUAUUUGUGAUCCAUAUAUGUGUGGUAUUAUCAUUAUGAUUCUCCAAUGCUUUUAUGUGUUUCUAGAACUCUGAAUGCCCUAGAGGAUAAUUCAUAAGAGAAUAUGAAAUCAAAUAGUGUAACACUUCUUUCAAUGAUUUAGUGUACUAAGAUUUGCUUUGGGAUGUUAGUAUAAGUUUUAUGUCAUUUUAGGUUCUUGAUAUUUACUUCAAUAAUUAGCAUAAGAUCAUAGAUAUGCCAGGUAUUGGGUACAAAAGGCACCAAUUAGAUCUUAGGAGAUAUGAUCCUUGUCGAGUGAAAUAAAUACAUAUUAUGAGUAAAUAUUGAAUGACAAAGAACAUAUAUAGUGAGGUUCAAAAUUUUUGCUUCUAUAUUCCCCAUAUGAAAUGUUAAAUUAAGGCAAUUUCUUACUUCAAGUUGUGACCUAUUCUUGUGGUGUAAAAUCCAUGUAUCAUCGAAUUGAAUAUGAAGGUAAAAAAACCCACGUAAAGUAAGACUUUAGAGGUUUGCUUUCCUUUGGAAAUCAUUUAUCGAUAAAUCCAUUGAACUUUGAAGGAACAUAAUGGUCCAUUGAUUCGAAGUACAUACAUAACACGUUCUUCCAAUAGACAAAUUACUUCCCACGAAGUCAACAAUUCAAGGGGAAGGCUUAAACCCCAGAAGUUGAAGAUAACAAGGGUCAAGACUUAAUUUCUUUCGUCACUUGUGUUAAGUAGACAAGAGAAUUCUUCGGAGUGCACGCUGAGGAUGCGAAACGAUUUCAUUCCUAUUUGACUUUUAGAGUCAUAACUUCUAUAUAUUCCCACGGCAAGAAAUUCCGGACAGAAACCAACCACGUGAGUUCCUUUGCCAGACAACAUCACUUGAUUUCUUAACAGAAUACCAGGUUGAUUUCAAUAUGUGCAUACGUGAAGGUAAGUCCUUAACACAUUCGUUCGUUCUCUUGGACAAUUUAUUGAGAUCGUAGGACAUUGUUAAUUUGCAGUUUUAUAUUACCUGACUCGAACACCCUGUCUCCUAAAUGAUCUGCAUCUUUAUCAUCUUCGAUGAAACUACUUGAUUACUUUUAAUCAUUAGAUGUGCUAGAGGAGUGAGUCUGUUUUCAAAGAACUCAUCUUUUUAUUCAGUUUUCACUUAUAUUGUUCGGAAUCUUUAAAGAUACCAAUGAGUGCAUGUCGGAUUCGCUAAAAGUAGUGUAUAUUUCGAGUAUCCAACACGUGCAGUGUUAAAUUUUUUAUUUUACUGUCAAAAGGCUUUCCAGUCUGCUAGAAGAGAGAGGCAAAGCAAAAACUGAAAUAGAUCUUAUCUCAAUAGGUUUCUCUCAGUCAUUUUAGUCAUUUUUUCAUAUUGAGCUUACUAUUAUCCCGAGUUGAGAAAGCUCUGGAGGAGGUUGCGAGGGUUUCUGCAACUGUUGCGUUAUGGGUAAGGGAACAGGAAGCUUUGGUAAGAGGAGGAACAAGACCCACACACUACGAGUGAGGUGUGGAAGACGGAGCUUCCAUCUCCAGAAGAGCCGUUGCUCUGCUUGUGCUUACCGUCCUGCCCAUAAAAGGGAUACAAUUGGAGUUUGAAAGCUAUUCGCAGAAAAAGACAACUACAACUGGCCACAUGAGGUAUCUUUAGAAUGUCCCCCGCAGGUUCUUGGCCAAUUUCAGAGAAGGUACUGAAGCACCUCCUAGGAAAAAGGGAGUAGCUUCUUCUUGAGGCCUUUGAGACAGUUACUUGAGAGGCUAUUACUGGUAGCUUCAUUCUACCUUAGGUUUUGUUGCCCUUUAAAAGAUUUAUGUGCUUAAAAUUUUCGAAGUCCAUAUUUCAACUUGGCAUUUUUAUGAAGAAGGAUCUUAAGACUGCGAUAACUUAUUGGAAAAAACAAGCUUACCAUUAUUUCAUAUUGAGAUUACACAAGUCUUUUGAGAUCUAUUUGGAAGGCCCACGUGUUCAUCAUUAUGCUUCUUUGAAUUGAAUUAUAAUAGAUGGUGUGCAAUUGCUCCAUAGGUUGGUGACCUAAAAAAGAUUGGAGCAAAAUUUCCCGUCGAGUAUGUUAUGUUAAUAUUAUAAUAUUUUAGUUGGUUUGUAAGUGACAGUUUAAUUGGAAA